This is a long non-coding RNA of Pan troglodytes (chimpanzee), 2199 nucleotides long. RefSeq lists it as uncharacterized. The transcript has 2 exons. Lineage: Eukaryota; Metazoa; Chordata; Mammalia; Primates; Hominidae. The record is from RefSeq and is a predicted model, not a curated record.
ACUCCAGGUACGGCGCCGCGGGGACCGGGUCCUUGCGCCGGUUUCCGCUUCUCGUGGGUCCUGCGGCGGCGGCGGCGGCCAAGCGGCGUUCACCAGGGAGUCGGUGAGCGCGCGGACUGUCCCGAGGCCAAGCUGGGGCCGUUCCAGGGUGCUCGGUCCGGUGGUCCCGGGGCCUGGAGGCCCCUGGGCCCGCGGAGGCCGCGGCCGGGCUCUGUCAGCCAGCUCGGCGUUGGACACUCGCCUUACUCGCGGCUCCUAACGGGGCGGGCCGGGGGCACAGCCCUCGUCCGCCGCCAUUGCCACUUGACGUCGUGUCACGUAGGCUCGGCGGAGUAGCAGCGCGCAUGCGCGGCUUGCCUGUCAGUAACCACGUGAUGGACCCGGAAGCCCGAGGGCAGAUGCUGAAUGAUGGCCCUUUGACAUUUGCGUGUGUUCACUGUGGAUAGUUUUACCAAGUACAUUGAUUUGGGCCCUUACAGCUUACAAAGUAAAGAUAACACUUACUCCUCCAAGAAAUUGAUUUCAGCUAAGCAAAACAUUGAUACAGGGCUAUAAUGGAAGUGUUGGACUCAUAAACGUUUUAUGAAAUCAGUGUGUGUGUAUUACAGAAAUCAGAAAUGAGAAGUAAGAACAUGCCUGGGAGAGUGUGACAUAAGAAAAAUAACUUGUAGGCGUAUUUAACAGACAGCAGCAGUUCUCAGGAUUCCCCAUGUUAGAGCCUUCCUUCCUGUCCUCUGAGAAAUGAAAAUGAAAUCCAAAGACCCCCAACUGACUACACGAACCGCCUACUGGCUAAGGAGAUCCCAGGGUUGCCUUGAAGGCAGUUCUCAGCCAUGACAGAUGGGAGGUGAGACACCUGUUAUUAAGGCCAACCGUUGGCUAACUACCAUUAGGUUUUCUUGGCUAAGAGCUUAACGGAAACCAGCGCUUUCGAAAGACUCCACCGCUGAUAACAACCCUCUCGUGCAGUUUCGGCCCAAUUGACCAGUAUUCCUUACUGAUAAGAGAUACUGACCAUGGAGUGGUUCUGGUGAGAUGACAUGACCCUCGUGAAGGGGCCUGAAGCUUCAUUGUGCUUGUUCUCCCUCUGUUGCCGAGGCUGGACUGUACUGCCGUGAUCUCGGCUUGCUGUAACCUCCCUGCCUCGGGCUGCCAUGAUUCUCCUGCCUCAGCCUGCCGAGUGCCUGGGAUUGCAGGCACGCGCCGCCACGCCUGACUGGUUUUUGUAUUUUUGGUGGAGACGGGGUUUUGCCGUGUUGGCCGGGCUGGUCUCCAGCUCCUGACCUUGAGUGAUCUGCCCGCCUCGGCCUCCCGAGGUGCUGGGAUUGCAGACGGAGUCUCACUCACUCAAUGCUGCCCAGGCUGGAGUGCAGUGGCGUGAUCUCGGCUCACUACAACCUCCACCUCCCAGCUGCCUGCCUUGGCCUCCCAAAGUGCUAAGAUUACAGCCUCUGCCCAGCCGCCACCCCGUCUAGGAAGUGAGGAGCGUCUCUGCCCGGCCGCCACCCCGUCUGGGAAGUGAGGAGAGCCUCUGCCCGGCCGCCACCCCGUCUGGGAAGUGAGGAGAGCCUCUGCCCAGCCGCCACCCCUUCUCAGAUGUGAGGAGCGCCUCUGCUCGGCCGCCCCAUCUGGGAGCCUUUCUGCAGGUGUACUCAACAGCUCCGGGGAGACAGUGACCAUCGAGAAUGGGCCAUGAUGACGAUGGCAGUUUUGUCGAAAAGGAAAGGGGGAAAUGUGGGGAAAAGAAAGAGAGAUCAGAUUGUUACUGUGUCUGUGUAGAAAGAAGCAGACCAAGGAGACACCAUUUUGUUCUGUACUAAGAAAAAUUAUUCUGCCUUGGGAUGCUGUUAAUCUAUGACCUUACCCCCAACCCCGUGCUCUCUGAAACCUGUGCUGUGUCAACUCAGGGUUAAAUGGAUUAAGGGUGGUGCAAGAUGUGCUUUGUUAAACAGAUGCUUGAAGGCAGCAUGUUCGUUAAGAGUCACCACCACUCCCUAAUCUCAAGUACCCAGGGACACAAACACUGCGGAAGGCCGCAGGGACCUCUGCCUAGGAAAACCAGAGACCUUUGUUCACUUGUUUAUCUGCUGACCUUCCCUCCACUAUUGUCCUAUGACCCUGCCACAUCCCCCUCUCUGAGAAACACCCAGGAAUGAUCAAUAAAUACUAAAAUAAAUAAAUAAAUCAAUAAAAUAAAAA